AGCCAUCACCAGCAGAAGCAUGUGGAAAGUAAAGGAUGGACUACACAGUGGAGAAGCAUCUUCUUUACCAGCUCUUGGGCUGACCAAGCUACUACUACCCAUGGGUCCUUCAUCAUCGCACCGGGCGGGUAAUUAGCGAAGCUAAAAACUGCUAUCCGAGAAUGCAACAUCUCAGCUGUCAUCCUGCUGGAGUGUGUGUGGGGGAAAAGUUACUUUGUAAAAUGAGAGCCCAGCGGUGCCGUUGUA
This is a long non-coding RNA of Peromyscus eremicus (cactus mouse), 246 nucleotides long. RefSeq lists it as uncharacterized. The record is from RefSeq and is a predicted model, not a curated record. NCBI's taxonomy places the organism in Eukaryota, Metazoa, Chordata, Mammalia, Rodentia, Cricetidae. The transcript is spliced from 2 exons.